This 433-nucleotide ribosomal RNA is filed under the name uncultured bacterium. Its description in RNAcentral is "partial 16S ribosomal RNA". It matches the Rfam family "Bacterial small subunit ribosomal RNA", at positions 29 to 507 of the family's 1533-position model. The record is from RNAcentral.
AACGAACGCUGGCGGCAUGCCUAACACAUGCAAGUCGAACGAGACCUUCGGGUCUAGUGGCGCACGGGUGCGUAACGCGUGGGAACCUGCCCUUAGGUUCGGAAUAACUCCCCGAAAGGGGUGCUAAUACCGGAUAAUGUCUUCGGACCAAAGAUUUAUCGCCUUUGGAUGGGCCCGCGUUGGAUUAGCUAGUUGGUAGGGUAAAAGCCUACCAAGGCGACGAUACAUAGCUGGUCUGAGAGGAUGAUCAGCCACACUGGGACUGAGACACGGCCCAGACUCCUACGGGAGGCAGCAGUGGGGAAUAGUGGACAAUGGGCGAAAGCCUGAUCCAGCAAUGCCGCGUGAGUGAUGAAGGCCUUAGGGUUGUAAAGCUCUUUUACCCGAGAUGAUAAUGACAGUACCGGGAGAAUAAGCUCCGGCUAACUCCGUG